UACGGAGGGGGCGAGCGUUAUUCGGAAUUAUUGGGCGUAAAGGGCGCGUAGGCGGCCCUGUAAGUCAAAGGUGAAAUCCCUCGGCUCAACUGAGGAACUGCCUUUGAAACUGCAGGGCUUGAGUCCGGGAGGGGGUAGCGGAAUUCCCAGUGUAGCGGUGAAAUGCGUAGAUAUUGGGAGGAACACCGGUGGCGAAGGCGGCUACCUGGACCGGCACUGACGCUGAGGCGCGAAAGCGUGGGGAGCAAAC
RNAcentral lists this ribosomal RNA (250 nucleotides) under uncultured bacterium. Its description in RNAcentral is "partial 16S ribosomal RNA". It matches the Rfam family "Bacterial small subunit ribosomal RNA", at positions 524 to 773 of the family's 1533-position model. The record is from RNAcentral.